Molecule: ribosomal RNA, 433 nt
Filed under: uncultured bacterium
Lineage: Bacteria
Description: partial 16S ribosomal RNA
Rfam family: Bacterial small subunit ribosomal RNA
Source: RNAcentral
AACGAACGCUGGCGGCAUGCCUAACACAUGCAAGUCGAACGAUACCUUCGGGUCUAGUGGCGCACGGGUGCGUAACGCGUGGGAACCUGCCCUUAGGUUCGGAAUAACUCCCCGAAAGGGGUGCUAAUACCGGAUAAUGUCUUCGAACCAAAGAUUUAUCGCCUUUGGAUGGGCCCGCGUUGGAUUAGCUAGUUGGUAGGGUAAAAGCCUACCAAGGCGACGAUCCAUAGCUGGUCUGAGAGGAUGAUCAGCCACACUGGGACUGAGACACGGCCCAGACUCCUACGGGAGGCAGCAGUGGGGAAUAUUGGACAAUGGGCGAAAGCCUGAUCCAGCAAUGCCGCGUGAGUGAUGAAGGCCUUAGGGUUGUAAAGCUCUUUUACACGGGAUGAUAAUGACAGUACCGGGAGAAUAAGCUCCGGCUAACUCCGUG